AACGAACGCUGGCGGCAUGCCUAACACAUGCAAGUCGAACGAGACCUUCGGGUCUAGUGGCGCACGGGUGCGUAACGCGUGGGAACCUGCCCUUAGGUUCGGAAUAACUCCCCGAAAGGGGUGCUAAUACCGGAUAAUGUCUUCGGACCAAAGAUUUAUCGCCUUUGGAUGGGCCCGAGUUGGAUUAGCUAGUUGGUAGGGUAAAAGCCUACCAAGGCGACGAUCCAUAGCUGGUCUGAGAGGAUGAUCAGCCACACUGGGACUGAGACACGGCCCAGACUCCUACGGGAAGCAGCAGUGGGGAAUAUUGGACAAUGGGCGAAAGCCUGAUCCAGCAAUGCCGCGUGAGUGAUGAAGACCUUAGGGUUGUAAAGCUCUUUUACCCGGGAUGAUAAUGACAGUACCGGGAGAAUAAGCUCCGGCUAACUCCGUG
This 433-nucleotide ribosomal RNA is filed under the name uncultured bacterium. RNAcentral describes it as "partial 16S ribosomal RNA". It matches the Rfam family "Bacterial small subunit ribosomal RNA", at positions 29 to 507 of the family's 1533-position model. The record is from RNAcentral.